RNAcentral lists this small RNA (83 nucleotides) under Tenacibaculum dicentrarchi. RNAcentral describes it as "Flavo-1". It matches the Rfam family "Flavo-1 RNA". Lineage: Bacteria; Pseudomonadati; Bacteroidota; Flavobacteriia; Flavobacteriales; Flavobacteriaceae. The record is from RNAcentral.
UCCUAGCCCCGAUUGAAGCUUUGUUUGAGCUCUUUUUUGUUUUUUUCAAACAAAAAAAGCGAGUGCGGAAAGCGGGAAAUUGC